Molecule: ribosomal RNA, 642 nt
Filed under: Limosilactobacillus reuteri
Lineage: Bacteria; Bacillati; Bacillota; Bacilli; Lactobacillales; Lactobacillaceae
Description: bacterial SSU rRNA
Rfam family: Bacterial small subunit ribosomal RNA
Source: RNAcentral
CACUGAUUGAUGGUGCUUGCACCUGAUUGACGAUGGAUCACCAGUGAGUGGCGGACGGGUGAGUAACACGUAGGUAACCUGCCCCGGAGCGGGGGAUAACAUUUGGAAACAGAUGCUAAUACCGCAUAACAACAAAAGCCACAUGGCUUUUGUUUGAAAGAUGGCUUUGGCUAUCACUCUGGGAUGGACCUGCGGUGCAUUAGCUAGUUGGUAAGGUAACGGCUUACCAAGGCGAUGAUGCAUAGCCGAGUUGAGAGACUGAUCGGCCACAAUGGAACUGAGACACGGUCCAUACUCCUACGGGAGGCAGCAGUAGGGAAUCUUCCACAAUGGGCGCAAGCCUGAUGGAGCAACACCGCGUGAGUGAAGAAGGGUUUCGGCUCGUAAAGCUCUGUUGUUGGAGAAGAACGUGCGUGAGAGUAACUGUUCACGCAGUGACGGUAUCCAACCAGAAAGUCACGGCUAACUACGUGCCAGCAGCCGCGGUAAUACGUAGGUGGCAAGCGUUAUCCGGAUUUAUUGGGCGUAAAGCGAGCGCAGGCGGUUGCUUAGGUCUGAUGUGAAAGCCUUCGGCUUAACCGAAGAAGUGCAUCGGAAACCGGGCGACUUGAGUGCAGAAGAGGACAGUGGAACUCCAUGGGU